UACGAAGGGUGCAAGCGUUACUCGGAAUUACUGGGCGUAAAGCGUGCGUAGGUGGUUUGUUAAGUCUGUUGUGAAAGCCCCCGGCUCAACUGGGGAGGGUCACGCGAUACUGAUCGACUCGAAGGCAGGAGAGGGUAGUGGAAUUCCCGGUGUAGUGGUGAAAUGCGUAGAUAUCGGGAGGAACACCAGUGGCGAAGGCGACUACCUGGCCUGUUCUUGACGCUGAGGCGCGAAAGCUAGGGGAGCAAACGGG
Molecule: ribosomal RNA, 253 nt
Filed under: uncultured bacterium
Lineage: Bacteria
Description: partial 16S ribosomal RNA
Rfam family: Bacterial small subunit ribosomal RNA
Source: RNAcentral